This 253-nucleotide ribosomal RNA is filed under the name uncultured bacterium. RNAcentral describes it as "partial 16S ribosomal RNA". It matches the Rfam family "Bacterial small subunit ribosomal RNA", at positions 524 to 776 of the family's 1533-position model. The record is from RNAcentral.
UACGUAGGGUGCGAGCGUUGUCCGGAAUUACUGGGCGUAAAGAGCUCGUAGGUGGUUUGUCGCGUUGUUCGUGAAAACUCACAGCUCAACUGUGGGCGUGCGGGCGAUACGGGCAGACUGGAGUACUGCAGGGGAGACUGGAAUUCCUGGUGUAGCGGUGGAAUGCGCAGAUAUCAGGAGGAACACCGGUGGCGAAGGCGGGUCUCUGGGCCGAUACUGACGCUGAGGAGCGAAAGCGUGGGGAACGAACAGG